Molecule: non-coding RNA, 139 nt
Organism: Triticum urartu
Lineage: Eukaryota; Viridiplantae; Streptophyta; Magnoliopsida; Poales; Poaceae
Source: Rfam
AUUCUACUCCCUCCGUUGCACAAUACUACAUGCCUUCUAUUUGUCAAAAUAUAUAUGUAUCUAGACAUGUCUUAGUAUAUAGGUACAUCCAUUUUUAGACAAAUGGAAGUCAAGUAUUUUGGAACGGAGGGAGUACACA